GUUUGCACUUGUCGGGGAAGGGUGAGAAACUUCGAUUAAGGUUCGACUCGAGCGAAAGCGAGAGAACGUUGCCAACGGCAACGGCCCGAAGGGUGAGGAGCGAAGCGACGAAUAAUCCUUCCCCCACCACCA
RNAcentral lists this small RNA (132 nucleotides) under Citrobacter freundii. RNAcentral's name for it is "RtT sRNA". It matches the Rfam family "RtT RNA". Rfam says of the family: This family represents a bacterial cis-regulatory element known as RtT RNA. The exact function of RtT is unknown although it is thought that it may be involved in changing the cellular response in relation to amino acid starvation. Lineage: Bacteria; Pseudomonadati; Pseudomonadota; Gammaproteobacteria; Enterobacterales; Enterobacteriaceae. The record is from RNAcentral. RNAcentral also lists the same sequence under 5 other names.